This 303-nucleotide ribosomal RNA is filed under the name uncultured bacterium. Its description in RNAcentral is "partial 16S ribosomal RNA". It matches the Rfam family "Bacterial small subunit ribosomal RNA", at positions 507 to 809 of the family's 1533-position model. The record is from RNAcentral.
AGCAGUCGCCACGGGAAUACGGAGGGUGCAAGCGUUAUCCGGAUUCACUGGGUUUAAAGGGUGCGUAGGCGGAUCUGUAAGUCAGUGGUGAAAUCUCCAGGCUUAACCUGGAAACUGCCGUUGAUACUAUAGGUCUUGAAUUUUGUGGAGGUUAGCGGAAUAUGUCAUGUAGCGGUGAAAUGCAUAGAUAUGACAUAGAACACCAAUUGCGAAGGCAGCUGGCUACACAACUAUUGACGCUGAGGCACGAAAGCGUGGGGAUCAAACAGGAUUAGAUACCCCCGUAGUCCCUGUCUUCUUAUA